GCUGGUCAUGGUGGUGCAUGCCUGUAAUCCCAGCUACUUGGGAGGCUGAGGCAGGAGAAUUGCUUGAACCCAGGAGGCAGAGGUUGCAGUGAGCUGACAUCGUGCCACUGCAUUCUGGCCUGGGUGAUAGAGUGAGACUCCGUCUCAA
RNAcentral lists this non-coding RNA (148 nucleotides) under Nomascus leucogenys (northern white-cheeked gibbon). Lineage: Eukaryota; Metazoa; Chordata; Mammalia; Primates; Hylobatidae. The record is from Rfam by way of RNAcentral.